RNAcentral lists this long non-coding RNA (1141 nucleotides) under Sus scrofa (pig). RNAcentral's name for it is "lncRNA (ENSSSCG00035044470.1)". Lineage: Eukaryota; Metazoa; Chordata; Mammalia; Artiodactyla; Suidae. The record is from RNAcentral.
AUGGUGCUGGAUAUUGGCGUUGAGCUGGAGCUGCUUGGCUGCACAGAGGUUGCACUGGUGGUUGGCACUGAGCUGGAGCUGCUUGGCUGGACAGAGACGGUGCUGGAUAUUGGAGGUGAGCUUGAGCUGCUUGGCUGCACAGAGGUUGCACUGGUGGUUGGAGCAGAGCUGGAGCUGCUUGGCUGGACAGAGAUGGUGCUGGAUAUUGGAGGUGAGCUGGAGCUGCUUGGCUGCACAGAGGUUGCACUGGUGGUUGGAGCAGAGCUGGAGCUGCUUGGCUGGACAGAGGUGGUGCUGGGUAUUGGCGUUGAGCUGGAGCUGCUUGGCUGCACAGAGGUUGCACUGGUGGUUGGAGCUGAGCUGGAGCUGCUUGGCUGCACAGAGGUGGUGCUGGUGGUGGGCACUGAGCUGGAGCUGCUUGUCUGCACAGAGAUGGUGCUGGAUAUUGGCGUUGAGCUGGAGCUGCUUGGCUGCACAGAGGUUGCACUGGUGGUUGGCGCCGAGCUGGAGCUGCUUGGCUGGACAGAGGUGGUGCUGGAUAUUGGAGGUGAGCUGGAGCUGCUGGACUGCACAGAGGUUGCACUGGUGGUUGGAGCUGAGCUGGAGCUGCUUGGCUGCACCGAGGUGGUGCUGGGUAUUGGAGUUGAGCUGGAGCUGCUUGUGUGCACAGAGGUUGCACUGGUGGUUGGAGCAGAGCCUGAGCUGCUUGGCUGCACAGAGGUGGUGCUGGUGCUGGGCACUGAGCUGGAGCUGCUUGUCUGCACAGAGAUGGUGCUGGAUAUUGGAGGUGAGCUGGAGCUGCUGGACUGCACAGAGGUUGCACUGGUGGUUGGAGCAGAGCCUGAGCUGCUUGGCUGCACAGAGGUGGUACUGGUGGUUGGUGAUGAGCUGGAGCUGCUUGGCUGGACAGAGAUGGUGCUGGAUAUUGGAGGUGAGCUGGAGCUGCUUGGCUGCACAGAGGUUGCACUGGUGGUUGGAGCAGAGCUGGAGCUGCUUGGCUGCACAGAGGUUGCACUGGUGGUGGGCACUGAGCUGGAGCUGCUUGGCUGGACAGAGAUGGUGCUGGAUAUUGGAGGUGAGCUGGAGCUGCUUGUCUGCACAGAGCUUGCCCUGGUGGUUGAUACAGAGCCUGAGCUGCUUG